GAGGGUAUAGCUGAAGUGGUAGAGCCCAUGCUUAUCAUGCAUGAGGUCCUGGGUUCAUUCCCUAGUAUUUCA
RNAcentral lists this transfer RNA (72 nucleotides) under Camelus bactrianus (Bactrian camel). It matches the Rfam family "tRNA". Rfam says of the family: Transfer RNA (tRNA) molecules are approximately 80 nucleotides in length. Their secondary structure includes four short double-helical elements and three loops (D, anti-codon, and T loops). Lineage: Eukaryota; Metazoa; Chordata; Mammalia; Artiodactyla; Camelidae. The record is from Rfam by way of RNAcentral. RNAcentral also lists the same sequence under 1 other name.